Molecule: long non-coding RNA, 739 nt
Organism: Salvelinus sp. IW2-2015
Lineage: Eukaryota; Metazoa; Chordata; Actinopteri; Salmoniformes; Salmonidae
Source: RefSeq, a predicted model, not a curated record
AACACGCCAGUGGUUCAACACCAUUGACGUUGUACUGGAUGCAGACCAGGCAUGUCUAGUCGGAGGACGCUGGAUUCGACAUCACCGACAGCGACAUUUGAAGCCAUGACGCCGAGCAGCAAUGAUCAGCAAGAGGACAUUCCUGAACCUACAGACCCAGAGAAAGCUGCAUGCWCUAAUGGUGAAGCCACAACCUCAGAGCCCAGCACCCACAGACACCCAGAUUCCAUUCUCGGGAAGAGGAAACACUCCGAGCACAACCAGCGAAUACCUGAACUUCAUGAGGGAGACCGAGGCCUCAUACCUGGAGACACUUGAGGCCCAGCGUCAGUAGCAGGAUCAGCACAUCAAUCAACUGUGUGAAGAUGAGUCAGAAGCCAGAGAGCAGGCGUUCUUAAUGUUUUGUAUGCUCAGUGUAUACUUGUUGGGGUGGGAUUGGUAUGGGGUGUGGGUCCGUGGUUGGCUUUUGUCCAUUCGUUUGGAUUCCUGACGUCUAACUCAUUGUUAGAAAAACGUUUGGUUCAAAUAUGAUUUUAGGUACUAUAUUUAUUCAAUAUUAUAUGAAUCCUAUAAAUAAAAAGGGCCAAUUUGGAUGCAAUCAAUCAGCUUACAUUUCCAGAGAUCAAAUUAUAUUUCAACAAAGUAUUGCUGCAGGAAUGCUAAUCCUAUCUGUUUCUAACAGCAGAAACAAUUUCAGAACAAUCUGAGAUGGUGGGUGUCGAAAUCCACUUUCUUGUGC